Molecule: ribosomal RNA, 450 nt
Filed under: uncultured bacterium
Lineage: Bacteria
Description: partial 16S ribosomal RNA
Rfam family: Bacterial small subunit ribosomal RNA
Source: RNAcentral
GUGGGGAAUAUUGGACAAUGGGCGAAAACCUGAUCCAGCCAUGCCGCGUGUGUGAAGAAGGUCUUCGGAUUGUAAAGCACUUUAAGUUGGGAGGAAGGGCAGUAAGUUAAUACCUUGCUGUUUUGACGUUACCGACAGAAUAAGCACCGGCUAACUUCGUGCCAGCAGCCGCGGUAAUACGAAGGGUGCAAGCGUUAAUCGGAAUUACUGGGCGUAAAGCGCGCGUAGGUGGUUUUGUAAGUUGGAGGUGAAAUCCCCGGGCUCAACCUGGGGACUGCCUCCAAAACUGCAUGACUAGAGUACGGUAGAGGGUAGUGGAAUUUCCUGUGUAGCGGUGAAAUGCGUAGAUAUAGGAAGGAACACCAGUGGCGAAGGCGACUACCUGGACUGAUACUGACACUGAGGUGCGAAAGCGUGGGGAGCAAACAGGAUUAGAAACCCUUGUAGUCC